This is a long non-coding RNA of Carassius carassius (crucian carp), 1022 nucleotides long. RefSeq lists it as uncharacterized. The transcript is spliced from 6 exons. NCBI's taxonomy places the organism in Eukaryota, Metazoa, Chordata, Actinopteri, Cypriniformes, Cyprinidae. The record is from RefSeq and is a predicted model, not a curated record.
CAUUAUUCUGAAAUCAAUCCUCUAAUUGCCGUCCUCAGGUGCUUCUGGCUCUCAGCGCGGCCGCUUCGGAUCCAGGUGUGAACACAGUCUCUGGUUUGGCAGAUUCCCCCUCAGUCGCCCUGUUUGGACCAGAACUUGGAGAGGAAAGACGCAUCAAACGCAGCGUAAAAUCCACAGAUAUGUCAUGGUGUGAACAGUAAAACUGGACUCUGAGAUUCUGCUGGUUUCUUAAAUAUUCCCAGAGUUUGAAGACUCUGAUGAAGGCUUUGAUGAUUGUUUGCUACGUCUUCAUCAUCAUGUGCAACUCCAUUGCCAUGGGAACUGAUGAUGCAGGCGAGAGAAGGCCCCUAAUUGGUUCGGUCGGUUCCAGCAGCUUCUUGGACCACGGCGACUAGUUUUGAAGCUGUCUUGAUGACUCACAGAUGAAUAGAAAGUUGAAAAGAAAGUGCAGCAAAGAGACGGAGACGGAGAGUCUGUUGUCAUUCAUUUCAAUGAUUCAGUCGGAUCUGCAUUCAUUCUCUGCAAAGUGCCGAAUGCUUUCUGGACGUGAAGAGAAAAAAGGAUCUUUAAACGAAACAGAUGUGACUCUGCAGCAGGUUACAGUGUGUGUGGAGCCUCUGACGCUCCCAACACUUACUCAAACGCACAAGCAACACACACACUUCAUGCAGAACAACAUGCACGAGAAAGAGAGAAUGUGAGUCCUGUUUGCACCUGUGUGAUUGACGUGCAAACUUCUGCAUUUGAUCCUCCUGUGAUUUACAGAGAGUUUUAUUCCUGGGAAUAGUGGAAGGGAACUGACUCACUGGGUUUGAUGUCUGGAGCAAUGAAUCAUGGGAGGACUGCAGCAGCUGGGGGUCUCGUGGAAAGAGUCAUCCUUAAAAACGCUUUGAUCUGCCUUGAUAAAAAGAAUUAUUUUACAAACUUUAUUUACCAAAUGCUUUUCAUGCUCAAAGCUCAGAGCACCAGUAAUGGAUCUGAACACACUCAUGUUUACUGAUCGCACGUAACAAACAAACACA